Molecule: ribosomal RNA, 399 nt
Filed under: uncultured bacterium
Lineage: Bacteria
Description: bacterial SSU rRNA
Rfam family: Bacterial small subunit ribosomal RNA
Source: RNAcentral
GAGCGGGCGUAGCAAUACGUCAGCGGCAGACGGGUGAGUAACGCGUGGGAACGUACCUUUUGGUUCGGAACAACACAGGGAAACUUGUGCUAAUACCGGAUAAGCCCUUACGGGGAAAGAUUUAUCGCCGAAAGAUCGGCCCGCGUCUGAUUAGCUAGUUGGUGAGGUAAUGGCUCACCAAGGCGACGAUCAGUAGCUGGUCUGAGAGGAUGAUCAGCCACAUUGGGACUGAGACACGGCCCAAACUCCUACGGGAGGCAGCAGUGGGGAAUAUUGGACAAUGGGCGCAAGCCUGAUCCAGCCAUGCCGCGUGAGUGAUGAAGGCCCUAGGGUUGUAAAGCUCUUUCGAGUGGGACGAUGAUGACGGUACCACUAUAAGAAGCCCCGGCUAACUUCGUG